GGCAAUGUGGCUCACUGGCAGAGCAUUUGCCUAGCAUGUUCAAUGCCCUGAGUUCAAUCCCCAGCACUGCCA
This 72-nucleotide transfer RNA is filed under the name Neotoma lepida (desert woodrat). It matches the Rfam family "tRNA". From Rfam's summary of the family: Transfer RNA (tRNA) molecules are approximately 80 nucleotides in length. Lineage: Eukaryota; Metazoa; Chordata; Mammalia; Rodentia; Cricetidae. The record is from Rfam by way of RNAcentral.